This is a ribosomal RNA of Bison bison bison, 121 nucleotides long. The record is from Ensembl. Lineage: Eukaryota; Metazoa; Chordata; Mammalia; Artiodactyla; Bovidae.
GGUGGUACUGCUCCCACCCUGGACGUGCCUGAUCUCAUUCGAUCUUGGAAGCUAAGCAGGGUCGGGCCUGGUUAGUACUUGGAUGGGAGACCUCACAUACCCAGCAUAAAAUCUACCAUCC